RNAcentral lists this ribosomal RNA (491 nucleotides) under uncultured bacterium. RNAcentral describes it as "partial 16S ribosomal RNA". It matches the Rfam family "Bacterial small subunit ribosomal RNA", at positions 29 to 507 of the family's 1533-position model. The record is from RNAcentral.
AGUGCACGCUGGCGGUAGGCCUAACACAUGCAAGUCGAACGGCAGCACAGUAAGAGCUUGCUCUUACGGGUGGCGAGUGGCGGACGGGUGAGGAAUACAUCGGAAUCUACUUUUUCGUGGGGGAUAACGUAGGGAAACUUACGCUAAUACCGCAUACGACCUACGGGUGAAAGCAGGGGAUCUUCGGACCUUGCGCGAUUGAAUGAGCCGAUGUCGGAUUAGCUAGUUGGCGGGGUAAAGGCCCACCAAGGCGACGAUCCGUAGCUGGUCUGAGAGGAUGAUCAGCCACACUGAACUGAGACACGGUCCAGACUCCUACGGGAGGCAGCAGUGGGGAAUAUUGGACAAUGGGCGCAAGCCUGAUCCAGCCAUACCGCGUGGGUGAAGAAGGCCUUCGGGUUGUAAAGCCCUUUUGUUGGGAAAGAAAAGCAGCAGGUUAAUACCCCGCUGUUCUGACGGUACCCAAAGAAUAAGCACCGGCUAACUUCGUG